UUCUCGGUGAAGGAAAACACAGCUGGUUAAGUUUGUUUUGGUUUUGGUGUCGCGUGAUUGGAAUCCUGAUUUGUGGGGGAACUUUGUUUUCGCGAGUGCGCGAUUGUGUGCGUGUGUGUUUGUUUACGUUUGCCGUAUUCUUGGUGAGCGGGUGAUUAUAACUGGAUGAACUGGAUGCGGCCUGCGAUUGUUUAUGUGACUGUGCUUUGGGGGGUGUCCGUGACAGAAGGAAGAACCUUUCUCUGGUUAUUUCGGAGGAGGUAAUCUAUUGAGCGACUCGCGAGCAGUUUCCCGGUGAAGGUUGAGAGUGGAGUCCAUCUGAAUCGAUGGUACAUGCUGGUUCUA
Long non-coding RNA from Culex quinquefasciatus (southern house mosquito), 345 nucleotides. RefSeq lists it as uncharacterized. The transcript is spliced from 2 exons. NCBI's taxonomy places the organism in Eukaryota, Metazoa, Arthropoda, Insecta, Diptera, Culicidae. The record is from RefSeq and is a predicted model, not a curated record.